This 376-nucleotide long non-coding RNA is filed under the name Bos taurus (domestic cattle). RNAcentral describes it as "long non-coding RNA NONBTAT009750". Lineage: Eukaryota; Metazoa; Chordata; Mammalia; Artiodactyla; Bovidae. The record is from RNAcentral.
GUGUGUGUGUGUUUGUGAAGGUAGAAUACUUCUUUUGUACAGCUGAUGUUCAAGUCAUUUUACUAAGAGGUCUGGCUGGAGACCAUAGUAUCGAGUGUGUCUGCGUGUGUCUGUGUGUGUAGAGCUUUGUGAAGGUAGAAGAGUUGAUACUGAGGGCUUUACAUUUAGAAUUUUGCAAUUUUGGCAAAAACAAAAAAACCAAAAAUCCCAGAUAGACAAAAAAUAUAUAUAUAUAGUCCCACCUGAUGCACAGCAGGUCGGCGUUUCUGAAGCUAUAAGAGUUUGUGGUCGCUGUUGCUGAACUCUGAGACAACUCUAACAGAUGUCUCAGAGCCUGAGAUGUCUCGUGGCCGGCCCGGAGCGCCCCUGGCCGCUU